This is a non-coding RNA of Gymnopilus junonius, 88 nucleotides long. NCBI's taxonomy places the organism in Eukaryota, Fungi, Basidiomycota, Agaricomycetes, Agaricales, Galerinaceae. The record is from the annotation of a GenBank genome assembly.
GCCCGUUUAGCUCAGUGGUAGAGCGCGCCACUCGUAUUGCGUGUACUAAGUUAUGGUGAGGUCGGUUGUUCAAACCAGCCAAUGGGCA